GGGAUACCCGAGGGAAACUUCGGUUAAUACGGUAUAAGACCACACUACCGCAUGGUAGAGGGGUAAAAGGGGCAACCUGGUAUGAGAUGGACUCGCGUCGCAUUAGCUAGUUGGUGAGGUAACGGCCCACCAAGGCGACGAUGCGUAGCCGACCUGAGAGGGUGAUCGGCCACAUUGGGACUGAGAUACGGCCCAGACUCCUACGGGAGGCAGCAGUGGGGAAUAUUGGGCAAUGGAGGAAACUCUGACCCAGCAAUGCCGCGUGAAUGAAGAAGGUCUUCGGAUUGUAAAGUUCUUUAGUCAGGGAAGAAGUCAAUGACGGUACCUGAAGAAUAAGCUCCGGCUAACUACGUGCCAGCAGCCGCGGUAAUACGUAGGGAGCAAGCGUUGUUCGGAAUGACUGGGCGUAAAGGGUGCGUAGGCGGUUGUACAAGUUAGAAGUGAAAUACCCAGGGCUUAACUCGGGUGCUGCUUCUAAAACUGUAUGACUUGAGUGCAGUAGAGGUUAGUGGAAUUCCUAGUGUAGCGGUGGAAUGCGUAGAUAUUAGGAGGAACACCAGAGGCGAAGGCGGCUAACUGGACUGCAACUGACGCUGAGGCACGAAUGUGUGGGGAGCGAACAGGAUUAGAUACCCUGGUAGUCCACACUGUAAACGAUGGAUACUAGAUGUAGGAGGUAUCGACUCCUUCUGCGUCGCAG
Molecule: ribosomal RNA, 700 nt
Filed under: uncultured bacterium
Lineage: Bacteria
Description: bacterial SSU rRNA
Rfam family: Bacterial small subunit ribosomal RNA
Source: RNAcentral